CCUACGGGUGGCAGCAGUGGGGAAUAUUGGACAAUGGGGGCAACCCUGAUCCAGCCAUGCCGCGUGUGUGAAGAAGGCCCUCGGGUUGUAAAGCACUUUCAGUGAGGAAGAACGCCUGGUGGUUAAUACCCAUCAGGAAAGACAUCACUCACAGAAGAAGCACCGUCUAACUCCGUGCCAGCAGCCGCGGUAAUACGGAGGGUGCGAGCGUUAAUCGGAAUUACUGGGCGUAAAGCGCGCGUAGGUGGCUUGAUAAGCCGGUUGUGAAAGCCCCGGGCUCAACCUGGGAACGGCAUCCGGAACUGUCAAGCUAGAGUGCAGGAGAGGAAGGUAGAAUUCCCGGUGUAGCGGUGAAAUGCGUAGAGAUCGGGAGGAAUACCAGUGGCGAAGGCGGCCUUCUGGACUGACACUGACACUGAGGUGCGAAAGCGUGGGUAGCAAACAGGAUUAGAUACCCCGGUAGUC
This 465-nucleotide ribosomal RNA is filed under the name Vreelandella stevensii. Its description in RNAcentral is "partial 16S ribosomal RNA". It matches the Rfam family "Bacterial small subunit ribosomal RNA", at positions 338 to 795 of the family's 1533-position model. Lineage: Bacteria; Pseudomonadati; Pseudomonadota; Gammaproteobacteria; Oceanospirillales; Halomonadaceae. The record is from RNAcentral.